AAUAAGUACAGUUUUGUACUAUUCAUGUUCAAUAUUUGACUGUUCGUCUUAUUUGAAAAAAUUUUAUGAUUAGUAUUUUUAUUGCUAUUAGAUGAUAAAACAUGAAUAGUACUUUAUGUGUGACUAAAUAUUUUCAAAUUUUUUAAAUAAGAUGGACGGUCAAACGUUGGGCACAGAUAUCCACGGCUGCACUUAUU
RNAcentral lists this microRNA precursor (197 nucleotides) under Oryza sativa Indica Group (long-grained rice). Its description in RNAcentral is "MIR812 microRNA precursor family". It matches the Rfam family "MIR812 microRNA precursor family". Lineage: Eukaryota; Viridiplantae; Streptophyta; Magnoliopsida; Poales; Poaceae. The record is from Rfam by way of RNAcentral.